GUGGCCUAGUGGUCAGAGCGUCCGCCUUGGAUGCGGGAAGUUGUGGGUUCGAUCCUUGGUCAAGUCA
This is a non-coding RNA of Potamilus streckersoni, 67 nucleotides long. Lineage: Eukaryota; Metazoa; Mollusca; Bivalvia; Unionida; Unionidae. The record is from the annotation of a GenBank genome assembly.